UCCUCUGUAGUUCAGUCGGUAGAACGGCGGACUGUUAAUCCGUAUGUCACUGGUUCGAGUCCAGUAAGAGGAGCCA
RNAcentral lists this transfer RNA (76 nucleotides) under Citrobacter freundii. Its description in RNAcentral is "tRNA-Asn". It matches the Rfam family "tRNA". Rfam says of the family: Transfer RNA (tRNA) molecules are approximately 80 nucleotides in length. Their secondary structure includes four short double-helical elements and three loops (D, anti-codon, and T loops). Further hydrogen bonds mediate the characteristic L-shaped molecular structure. tRNAs have two regions of fundamental functional importance: the anti-codon, which is responsible for specific mRNA codon recognition, and the 3' end, to which the tRNAs corresponding amino acid is attached (by aminoacyl-tRNA synthetases). tRNAs cope with the degeneracy of the genetic code in two manners: having more than one tRNA (with a specific anti-codon) for a particular amino acid; and 'wobble' base-pairing, i.e. permitting non-standard base-pairing at the 3rd anti-codon position. The record is from RNAcentral. Lineage: Bacteria; Pseudomonadati; Pseudomonadota; Gammaproteobacteria; Enterobacterales; Enterobacteriaceae. RNAcentral also lists the same sequence under 6 other names.